GGGUAAGUACUCAAGUGGUCGAAGAGGCGGUCCUGCUAAGACUGUAGGGGUGUAUAAAGCACCCGCGGAGGUUCAAAUCCUCUCUUACCCGCCA
RNAcentral lists this transfer RNA (94 nucleotides) under Chlamydia trachomatis. RNAcentral describes it as "tRNA-Ser(gct)". It matches the Rfam family "tRNA". Rfam says of the family: Transfer RNA (tRNA) molecules are approximately 80 nucleotides in length. Their secondary structure includes four short double-helical elements and three loops (D, anti-codon, and T loops). RNAcentral also lists the same sequence under 16 other names. The record is from RNAcentral. Lineage: Bacteria; Pseudomonadati; Chlamydiota; Chlamydiia; Chlamydiales; Chlamydiaceae.